UCCCUGGUGGUCCAGUGGUUAGGACUCUGUGCUUUCACUGCCAAGGGCACAGGUUCAAUCCCUAGUCAGGGAA
RNAcentral lists this transfer RNA (73 nucleotides) under Muntiacus reevesi (Reeves' muntjac). It matches the Rfam family "tRNA". Rfam says of the family: Transfer RNA (tRNA) molecules are approximately 80 nucleotides in length. Their secondary structure includes four short double-helical elements and three loops (D, anti-codon, and T loops). Further hydrogen bonds mediate the characteristic L-shaped molecular structure. tRNAs have two regions of fundamental functional importance: the anti-codon, which is responsible for specific mRNA codon recognition, and the 3' end, to which the tRNAs corresponding amino acid is attached (by aminoacyl-tRNA synthetases). tRNAs cope with the degeneracy of the genetic code in two manners: having more than one tRNA (with a specific anti-codon) for a particular amino acid; and 'wobble' base-pairing, i.e. permitting non-standard base-pairing at the 3rd anti-codon position. RNAcentral also lists the same sequence under 8 other names. The record is from Rfam by way of RNAcentral. Lineage: Eukaryota; Metazoa; Chordata; Mammalia; Artiodactyla; Cervidae.